RNAcentral lists this ribosomal RNA (761 nucleotides) under uncultured bacterium. Its description in RNAcentral is "bacterial SSU rRNA". It matches the Rfam family "Bacterial small subunit ribosomal RNA", at positions 577 to 1338 of the family's 1533-position model. The record is from RNAcentral.
GGUUUGUCGCGUCUGCUGUGAAAAUCCGGGGCUCAACCCCGGACUUGCAGUGGGUACGGGCAGACUAGAGUAUGGUAGGGGAGACUGGAAUUCCUGGUGUAGCGGUGAAAUGCGCAGAUAUCAGGAGGAACACCGAUGGCGAAGGCAGGUCUCUGGGCCACUACUGACGCUGAGAAGCGAAAGCAUGGGGAGCGAACAGGAUUAGAUACCCUGGUAGUCCAUGCCGUAAACGUUGGGCGCUAGGUGUGGGACUCAUUCCACGAGUUCCGUGCCGCAGCUAACGCAUUAAGCGCCCCGCCUGGGGAGUACGGCCGCAAGGCUAAAACUCAAAGGAAUUGACGGGGGCCCGCACAAGCGGCGGAGCAUGCGGAUUAAUUCGAUGCAACGCGAAGAACCUUACCAAGGCUUGACAUAUACCGGAAACAUCCAGAGAUGGGUGCCCCUUUUGGUCGGUAUACAGGUGGUGCAUGGUUGUCGUCAGCUCGUGUCGUGAGAUGUUGGGUUAAGUCCCGCAACGAGCGCAACCCUCGUUCUAUGUUGCCAGCACGUCAUGGUGGGGACUCAUAGGAGACUGCCGGGGUCAACUCGGAGGAAGGUGGGGAUGACGUCAAAUCAUCAUGCCCCUUAUGUCUUGGGCUUCACGCAUGCUACAAUGGCCGGUACAAAGGGCUGCGAUACCGCAAGGUGGAGCGAAUCCCAAAAAACCGGUCUCAGUUCGGAUUGGGGUCUGCAACUCGACCCCAUGAAGUCGGAGUCGCUAG